Cynoglossus semilaevis (tongue sole) is the source of this 1807-nucleotide long non-coding RNA. RefSeq lists it as uncharacterized. The transcript is spliced from 6 exons. NCBI's taxonomy places the organism in Eukaryota, Metazoa, Chordata, Actinopteri, Pleuronectiformes, Cynoglossidae. The record is from RefSeq and is a predicted model, not a curated record.
AAAAUAUUUAUGCCAUGAAAAGUAAUCAUGCAGCAGAACCAUAGUCUGGACCAAGAAAAGGUUGUAGAGCGUAAGUGUAUAGAAAGAAUACCUGUGGUCAGUCGGGGUCAAAGGUGAAUAUGUGGAGUAGUUUUACUAGAUGGGAAAUGAAAAUGCAAUUCCUGACGUACUAGGAACCAAAAAAAAAAAAAAAACGCUAAGCACUUGAAUAGUUGCAGUGGAUGUUGCACUACAUGAAAAAAUAUUUAUGCCAUGAACAGUAAUCAUGCAGCAGAACCAUAGUCUGGACCAAGAAAAGGUUGUAGAGCGUAAGUGUAUAGAAAGAAUACCUGUGGUCAGUCGGGGUCAAAGGUGAAUAUGUGGAGUAGUUUUACUAGAUGGGAAAUGAAAAUGCAAUUCCUGACGUACUAGGAACCAAAAAAAAAAAACCAAACAAUCGAACCACUGUCCUGCUGUGGCCUCGGUGUCAGCAGCGUUGAGGUUUUACCGGCUUUUUCCCCUCGUGCCUUAAACGCAUCUUUUUUUUUACGCACCUAAACGUAAUCGUGCUGCUGUACGGCUCUGGUAAAGAAACAGAAUAUUUAAUCAUGGCUGAUUCAUUAUCCGUUAGAUCAGAUGUGUUUGAGUUUUGAUUCAGUGUUAAAGUUACUCCGUCGGUGACUGUUUGUGUUUGGAUAUGCAAUAUUAAAAAGUCACUUCCUGUCCAAAAGUUAACAGUUUUUGCGUGUUUUUCACUUUCUAAAAGUUGACGUCCCAGCUGUUUAAAUUAGUUAGCAGGAAUAACCUAACUUUUACCUCCAGACCAGCUUCAGAGGAGACCUACAACUGUCGGGUAACGAACCUUCAAAUAUUACUUUUUGCUGCAGCAGAAUACUGAGUUUGUUUUAUUUGAAGGUUGAUGUUGACAUACUUUAACGACUGUCACCUUGAAGGUCCACAGAGCAGCAGUGGAAGUCUUUCUGCAGCCAACACAGCGACCCCUAUUGGUGUAAAAAGAGAGCAGCCAUUCAACUAGUGAUGCAGGGUUCCACCGUGGGAAGUUCUCCAGCCCAUCACAGCAGGCUCUGGGAGAGGAGCAGAAGCUCAGGUUCUCCUCCUGGACUCUGACUCCUCUCUGGAAGCUGCUGCUUUUGGGCAUUUCCACGUUCAUGGGACAGACGUAAUCCUCGCCCUCUUCCUGACGUUUCCUUCUCAGAGUUCCAAACCCACCGAAGGACAGGCGUCGAGGCUGAGGCAGAAGAAAGAAAAGGAACGGAUCACUGAGUUACCUGAGCUCUCAGCUGAACUCCUCCACGUCGCUCACCUUGACUUUGGCGGUGGCAGUGAGGACGGUGUAGUCGGGGUUCUCCAGACACUCCUGCUUCAGACGCUGCGCCUCGGAGCCAAUGAGCAGAUGGAAGUGCGUGGCCAGGUGGCGUCGCAGCAGCGUUUUGCUGGGAGGAAUAUUGAGCAACAGAGCCAGAGCUUCAAUGUUGAAGCGUGGCUCCAGCACCUGAGAGGUCAAAGGACGUCAUCUGGACCCUGGUCACUCACCAUCAGACCUCCGUGGACACCACUGCCCCUCAGGUUUGGGGCGUACUCAGCCAGAUCCACUGAUCGUAACCACUCCAUCACUCUGUGGUUGGUCCACUGACAAAUCUCUGCUGGAGUGACAUUGUUCUGGAAGAAGGACGGCCGUCUCCUCAGACAGUUGUCUUCAAAGUUGUUCAGGCGCAGCACCUGGAUGGCUCUCUUGAUGCUGAGGUGGUGGAGGACACUCCCCACCUUCAGAGACAGGAGGUCGUCCUGGAGACCAACAUCACUCCUG